Molecule: long non-coding RNA, 359 nt
Organism: Sceloporus undulatus (fence lizard)
Lineage: Eukaryota; Metazoa; Chordata; Lepidosauria; Squamata; Phrynosomatidae
Exons: 3
Source: RefSeq, a predicted model, not a curated record
AAGACAAAGUUAGAAGACGAACUGCAUCAUCAUGAACUUUGUCAAAAUUGAGGAAGGGUGCAGCCUACAGAACUGUGUUGUAUGCCAUAAUGCAGUAAUUGAGAAAGGAGCUGACAUCAAGGACUGUUUGAUCGGAAACGGUCAACACCUGGAAUCCAAGUCUAAACACAUUAAUGAAGUUAUAAUGGGUACUGAUCAGCUGAUGGAAAUCUGAAACAAAACUCAAGGAUGGUUUUCUGACUGCCUGAACCUGCAUCCCAGCUCUGGAAUCUGUUUCCUGUGAUUACUCCUGUCAUCACUGGUAUCCACCCCAAUGUCAUCAUUCAAUUUACACCUUAAUAAAGAAAUAUUUACAGUGA